RNAcentral lists this ribosomal RNA (315 nucleotides) under Triticum aestivum (bread wheat). RNAcentral describes it as "partial small subunit ribosomal RNA". The record is from RNAcentral. Lineage: Eukaryota; Viridiplantae; Streptophyta; Magnoliopsida; Poales; Poaceae.
AUGAACUGGAGCUAGCGGCACGGCGUGGCGAUGGGCACGGCACGGCGUCUCCGCUACCUCCACAAGGGAUGCGUGCGCCGGAUCAUCCACCGGGACAUCAAGGCCUCCAACAUCCUCCUCGACACCGACUACUAGCCCAGGUACGCUCAUGCUCGCCGUCGCUAUCCAUCAACACACUCUACUCCUGCUUCCUCUGUUCGACGGCGGGGUUCGCUGACAGACGUCCUCUACACACGCACACACGCAAAUGGUGUACAAGGGCGAGGGCGGCUUCAGCAAGGUGUACAAGGGCACGAUGCUCGCCGGACGCAGUAG